CGGGUGGCAGCAGUAGGGAAUAUUGGUCAAUGGGCGCAAGCCUGAACCAGCCAUGCCGCGUGCAGGAUGACGGCCCUAUGGGUUGUAAACUGCUUUUGUACGGGAAGAAACCCCACUACGUGUAGUGGGUUGACGGUACCGUGAGAAUAAGGAUCGGCUAACUUCGUGCCAGCAGCCGCGGUAAUACGAAGGAUCCUAGCGUUGUCCGGAUUUACUGGGUUUAAAGGGAGCGUAGGCGGACUUUUAAGUCAGUGGUGAAAGCCUGCAGCUUAACUGUAGAAUUGCCAUUGAAACUGAUUGUCUCGAGUGUGGUUGAGGUCACUGGAAUGUAUCAUGUAGCGGUGAAAUGCUUAGAUAUGAUACAGAACACCAAUUGCGAAGGCAGGUGACUAAGCCAUUACUGACGCUGAUGCUCGAAAGCGUGGGGAUCAAACAGGAUUAGAUACCCGAGU
RNAcentral lists this ribosomal RNA (452 nucleotides) under uncultured prokaryote. RNAcentral describes it as "bacterial SSU rRNA". It matches the Rfam family "Bacterial small subunit ribosomal RNA", at positions 342 to 791 of the family's 1533-position model. The record is from RNAcentral.